Molecule: ribosomal RNA, 301 nt
Filed under: uncultured bacterium
Lineage: Bacteria
Description: partial 16S ribosomal RNA
Rfam family: Bacterial small subunit ribosomal RNA
Source: RNAcentral
CAGUCGCCGCGGUAAAACGUAGGUGGCAAGCGUUGUCCGGAGUUAUUGGGCGUAAAGGGCUCGCAGGCGGUUUCUUAAGUCUGAUGUGAAAGCCCCCGGCUCAACCGGGGAGGGUCAUUGGAAACUGGGAAACUUGAGUGCAGAAGAGGAGAGUGGAAUUCCACGUGUAGCGGUGAAAUGCGUAGAGAUGUGGAGGAACACCAGUGGCGAAGGCGACUCUCUGGUCUGUAACUGACGCUGAGGAGCGAAAGCGUGGGGAGCGAACAGGAUUAGAUACCCCCGUAGUCCCUGUCUCUUAUAC